Molecule: long non-coding RNA, 1575 nt
Filed under: Apteryx haastii (Great spotted kiwi)
Lineage: Eukaryota; Metazoa; Chordata; Aves; Apterygiformes; Apterygidae
Description: lncRNA (ENSAHAG00000006416.1)
Source: RNAcentral
AUGACAUACAUCAGUGUUGAUGAGAGACAGGAAAACUGCCGGGUGAUCUUGAGCUGCCAAAAUAAUCAGCUCUAUGCACAACAUGGCUUAAAGGAUUUUUCAGUUAGCAGCAUGCAUCCACUAAAGAACUUAGACACUGRGAUUUUUUCUGGGGACUUCCACACUCUAGACUCCUGCCACGCAGGCAAGGCACCUUUGGCCAAUCCUGUGGAACACCGGAUGUAUCGGAGCGUGGAGAACCUUCACUGGGCAACAGUAGCUGACUCUGGGCUGUAUUCUCACUGCCGGAGCCUGGAUAAUGAGAUCAUUUUCCACUAUAAAGGCACCAGGCAUUGGUCAGAAGGCUGUGUGGAUGUGACCCCGGUACAGAGCGCAUCGGACUCUUUGAGAAAGCUUUCUCUCUGUGCUAAACAGACAUCACGAUCAGCACAGAAUGUGCUCCUGCCUCCCUUUGCCAAAGUGCCUCAGUGGCUCUUCCCUUCUGCAGAGGAAAGAGCCCUCCACAGGGAUGCCAAAAAAGAACUGAAGGAGAAGCUGAGGCUGCACAGCACCAGGGUGGCAGAGCCCAGCAAGCCAGUGCGCCCGCAGGCAGCCCUGACUAACCUGAUGGCCCGGGAGUUCUUUGAAUGCCAGACAUGCAGGCAGUACAAAAAUGGUUGUGGUCUCAACUGCUGCACAGUGUUGGUGGAACGCAAUGCUCUCAGGCAUGGCCUCACAGGGAGGCAGAGACUGUGUUUUGCYCACAAAAUCACCAGUCCAGAAGACAUCAAGCAGGAGGCUCAGAGAAGGCUUCAGCUCCAAAGGCAGAACAGCUCCCCCAGUUUKCCCCUUCAAGACACUGGGAAAAGCCAUGAGGUGGCCAAAUCCAGAACAGCAGAAUCCUUGGAACAAUGGAAUGGGGAAACGGAUGUCAAAGUGACAUUGGGGCAGAGUCAGAAAGGUCGCUGUAAAGGGAGGCUUUACAUCCCCACCUUUGAGGAAUUCAAGCAAAUGAGAAGUAAGGAGGCAAAUUCAUCUGCCAGCAGCAGUGGGCCAACAAAGUACUCAGAUAAGGCACUUCUUGCAAACAAGACCCUGGAGGAGGAGAACAAUAAGAAYGUCUGUCCAGAAGCUCUGGAGACCAAAGCUGUGAAUGAAGCCACAGUCACAGUGGAAGAGGAUGAUGAUGUGUUCCAUGAAAACCACAUCUCUGCUGGCUUUUCCCAUUAUCCAGCUGCAUCGGAUGGUUUUGGAAUGAGCAGCCCUGAGGUGAAGGACAUGACCUACCAGAUCUCCAGCCCGGAUAGGUCCCCAGUCCCCAUUUGCUCUAGCCCAAUUCCACGAUCACCUUUGCAGGCAGUAGCGAUCCGCAGGGCUGGGCAGGAGACCUUCAGUGAUGAGCAGCAGAAAGGAGAGACAAGACAAUUGAAUGAUGUCAUCCACCUUACAGGGCAGUCGCUGCCUUCUGAAGCCCAGUCAUCUUGCUGUUCAUCGCUGCUGUUAGAAGCCACAGAUUUAUCCAGUUAUGGAGCWAAACUACAAAAAAUGAAGGAUGAAUUCAUAGGUUCAGCCCUGGAACUUAUUAAGAAAAGGUAA